CAACUUUGAUCUAAAUCAAUUGAAAUUUGUCAAAUAUAAAUACUUAUUUUUCCCUAGAUAUGCUGAAGGUUCUUUAGAAUCUUAGGAGUCAUUGAUUUCUCACAUUUCCUUAAUGUGGACCUUCCUACCCAACUACUCCUCAAUUCUAUUUCUGUUACCGAUCAUUUAGCAUUAAUAGCUGAGAGCAACAAAACAUACCAAGAAAACAAGUUGAGACUUAGCCACUAAACUAACACCACACAAGACUAAUACAAAACACAAUACAUCAAACCAAACCCAGGCACAAUGAUCCAAAGGAAACAAGGGAAAAAAGACGCAAAAUCCCUAUGCCAAGCCCAACAAAAAUGCACAGCCAUGCCGAACCAAUUAAAGCACAAACCAACAAUAUCCUCAAACACCUCUGCUCACACCACAUAAACAACAGCAAAACCAUAUAAAAACGCAAAAGACAGAGUUCGAAUGGCAGAAAAA
RNAcentral lists this long non-coding RNA (471 nucleotides) under Trifolium pratense (red clover). RNAcentral's name for it is "long non-coding RNA (TPRA_LNC010991)". Lineage: Eukaryota; Viridiplantae; Streptophyta; Magnoliopsida; Fabales; Fabaceae. The record is from RNAcentral.